RNAcentral lists this transfer RNA (73 nucleotides) under Loxodonta africana (African savanna elephant). It matches the Rfam family "tRNA". Rfam says of the family: Transfer RNA (tRNA) molecules are approximately 80 nucleotides in length. Their secondary structure includes four short double-helical elements and three loops (D, anti-codon, and T loops). Lineage: Eukaryota; Metazoa; Chordata; Mammalia; Proboscidea; Elephantidae. The record is from Rfam by way of RNAcentral.
GCCCUGGUGGCAGAAAUGGUUAAGCACUUGACUGCUAACCAAAAGGUUGGUGGUUCAAACCUACCCAACAGCU